CCCUUAGAUGUCCUGGGCCGCACGCGCGUUACACUGAUGCAUUCAACGAGCUUAUAACCUUGGCCGAGAGGCCUGGGCAAUCUUGUUAACGUGCAUCGUGAUAGGGAUAGAUUAUUGAAAUUAUUAAUCUUGAACGAGGAAUUCCUAGUAAACGCAGAUCAUCAAUCUGCAUUGAUUACGUCCCUGCCCUUUGUACACACCGCCCGUCGCACCUGCCGAUUGGAUGGUCCGGUGAAGCCUCGGGAUUGUGGUUCUUGCCGCUUUGUUGUGGCGUGACCGCGAGAACUUGUCUAAACCUUAUCAUCUAGAGGAAGGUGAAGUCGUAACA
Molecule: ribosomal RNA, 328 nt
Filed under: uncultured eukaryote
Lineage: Eukaryota
Description: partial 18S ribosomal RNA
Rfam family: Eukaryotic small subunit ribosomal RNA
Source: RNAcentral